Molecule: ribosomal RNA, 477 nt
Filed under: uncultured bacterium
Lineage: Bacteria
Description: partial 16S ribosomal RNA
Rfam family: Bacterial small subunit ribosomal RNA
Source: RNAcentral
AUUGAACGCUGGCGGCAUGCCUAACACAUGCAAGUCGAACGGUAACAGGUUAAGCUGACGAGUGGCGACCGGGUGAGUAAUGUAUCGGUACGUGCCCAGUCGGGGGGGAUGACUGCACGGAAGAGCAGCUAAUACCGCAUAGGGGCUGAGGGGGAGAGCGGGGGAUGGCAAGACCUCUGGCGAUUGGAGCGGCCGAUAUCCGAUUAGGUAGUUGGUGAGGUAAAGGCUCACGAAGCCGACGAUCUGUAGCUGGUCUGAGAGGACGACCAGCCACACUGGGACUGAGACACGGCCCAGACUCCUACGGGAGGCAGCAGUGGGGACUUUUGGACAAUGGGCGCAAGCCUGAUCCAGCAAUGCCGCGUGCGGGAAGAAGGCCUUCGGGUUGUAAACCGCUUUUGUCAGGGAAGAAAAGGUUCUGGCUAAUAACUGGGACUCAUGACGGUACCUGAAGAAUAAGCACCGGCUAACUACGUG